This 762-nucleotide ribosomal RNA is filed under the name uncultured bacterium. Its description in RNAcentral is "bacterial SSU rRNA". It matches the Rfam family "Bacterial small subunit ribosomal RNA", at positions 505 to 1259 of the family's 1533-position model. The record is from RNAcentral.
GUGCCAGCCGCCUCGGUGAUACGGAGGGUGCAAGCGUUAUCCGGAUUCACUGUUGGUGAAAGGGUGCGUAGGCGGGCGUAUAAGUCAGUGGUGAAAUCCUGGAGCUUAACUCCAGAACUGCCAUUGAUACUAUAUGUCUUGAAUAUGGUGGAGGUAAGCGGAAUAUGUCAUGUAGCGGUGAAAUGCAUAGAUAUGACAUAGAACACCUAUUGCGAAGGCAGCUUACUACGCCUAUAUUGACCCUGAGGCACGAAAGCGUGGGGAUCAAACAGGAUUAGAUACCCUGGUAGUCCACGCCCUAAACGAUGAUUACUCGACGUGUGCGAUAAACGGUACGCGACUGAGCGAAAGCAUUAAGUAAUCCACCUGGGAAGAACGACCGCAAGGGUGAAACUCAAAGGAAUUGGCGGGGGCCGCACAAGCGGUGGAGCAUGUGGUUAAUUCGAUGAUACGCGAGGAACCUUACCUGGGCUAGAAUGCAGACUGACUGCGGGUGACAGCUCAUUUUGUAUCACUACACACAAUUGUAAGGUGCUGAAUGGGUGUCGUCACCUCGUUGCCGUGAGGUGCUGGGUUAAGUCCCACUAACGGGUUGCAACCCCCUCUUAUUAGUUUUCUAAUAGAUGAAAGCUGGGAAACUCUAUCUUUAAUUGUCGUCCUUAAAUACGAGCACAUUAGGGAUUAGGUGAAAAGGUAUUUCGGCCUUUUUCUCAUGCGUUCUCCUCAUGCUACAUUUGGGCGAGAAAGGCUGAUAAACUCUUC